AGAUUAACAAUCAUCCCCCUGGGAAACAACGGAAUCAGAAGUUCCUGCAAUUUAUCCUCUUUUUUUCAAAUGCCCCUUGGCAAUCAUCAUUCCACCUGACCGUUUGAUUUCUUUCUUUUUUGUUUGUUUUUGGUUCAGGCAUUCCUUGCACUGUUCUCUUUUUUUUUUUUUUGCAGGAUCGACCUCGACUCCUCUUUCGUUUGCAACAUGCCUCGACAGCUUGCUGGACAACACUCCAUAAGUGCGCUAAUUCGAACUCAACAGUAUGAGUUAUCUCUACCUGUCAAACAACUUAAUCCACCGGAUGCCCCUCUUCUGCUUGGGACUUUGCCAUCAUGUCAUCAACAUGGCAUUUGC
This 357-nucleotide long non-coding RNA is filed under the name Lathyrus oleraceus (garden pea). RNAcentral describes it as "Pisum sativum (pea) long non-coding RNA (PSAT_LNC012660)". The record is from RNAcentral. Lineage: Eukaryota; Viridiplantae; Streptophyta; Magnoliopsida; Fabales; Fabaceae.